Calidris pugnax (ruff) is the source of this 573-nucleotide long non-coding RNA. RefSeq lists it as uncharacterized. The record is from RefSeq and is a predicted model, not a curated record. Lineage: Eukaryota; Metazoa; Chordata; Aves; Charadriiformes; Scolopacidae. The transcript is spliced from 3 exons.
GAACGCAGCCCCUAAGUCUCCCAGGACCCUGUCUGAAACCGUGGGAUGGCAGGUGGUGUGAAAGGACCAGGGGGAACACAAACCAGUUCAGUUUGUCCUGCCAAAUGGCCUGGCCCCAAGUCUUGCCUUUCUGCUUGGGUGUGCUUCAGUGAGCAGCUCUCUACAGACACAGACAGGCGAGGAGGAUCAGCUUGGCAGAUGCUGCCUGUGGUUGUACUCACCUUUCCACAGAGGUUGAGAGGCUGCUGCUCUUCAGGACAGAAUCUUCAUCUCUAGCAUUUUAUCAACUUGAGAUGUCCCAGUGACUGUCCCCUCGUGGGCCUCAUAGCCCAGGCAGCAUUCAAAAAUCAGCACAUCCCAGAAGUACUCUUUUGGUAACUGACGAGAGCUGAGGCUACAUGCUGAGGUUUUCCAUUCCUGCCAGAAAAGAGUUUUGGACAAGAAGCAGCUCUGAACUGAACCAAAACUGAAUGCCCAAACUACAAUUCUACAGGAUUUCAGUAUUAUUUUAUGUUCCCUGAGUCCUGAGGAAUUGAUGGCACCGAUGGAAGCAAGACUAACGAGGAUUGUUCU